CAGUAGCCGCGGUAAUACGUAGGUGGCAAGCGUUGUCCGGAAUUAUUGGGCGUAAAGGGCUCGCAGGCGGUUUCUUAAGUCUGAUGUGAAAGCCCCCGGCUCAACCGGGGAGGGUCAUUGGAAACUGGGAAACUUGAGUGCAGAAGAGGAGAGUGGAAUUCCACGUGUAGCGGUGAAAUGCGUAGAGAUGUGGAGGAACACCAGUGGCGAAGGCGACUCUCUGGUCCGUAACUGACGCUGAGGAGCGAAAGCGUGGGGAGCGAACAGGAUUAGAUACCCGAGUAGUCCCUGUCUCUUAUAC
This 301-nucleotide ribosomal RNA is filed under the name uncultured bacterium. Its description in RNAcentral is "partial 16S ribosomal RNA". It matches the Rfam family "Bacterial small subunit ribosomal RNA", at positions 509 to 807 of the family's 1533-position model. The record is from RNAcentral.